Triticum aestivum (bread wheat) is the source of this 135-nucleotide non-coding RNA. NCBI's taxonomy places the organism in Eukaryota, Viridiplantae, Streptophyta, Magnoliopsida, Poales, Poaceae. The record is from Rfam.
UUUGUAAUCCCUCCACCCGGAAAUACUUAUCAUCAAAAUGGACAAAAGGAGAUGUAUCUAGACGUAUUUUAGUUAUAGAUACAUCUCUUUUUAUCCAUUUUGAUGACAAGUAUUUUUGGACGGAGGGAGUAAUAA